Lathyrus oleraceus (garden pea) is the source of this 453-nucleotide long non-coding RNA. RefSeq lists it as uncharacterized. The record is from RefSeq and is a predicted model, not a curated record. The transcript has 3 exons. Lineage: Eukaryota; Viridiplantae; Streptophyta; Magnoliopsida; Fabales; Fabaceae.
CUCACCAGAAUCACUCCAAGAAAGGUAGAAGAAGAAGAGCAUUGAAUACAAGUGGAGGCGAAGCUCGCGGCAAGGAGAAAUUCUAACCGAAUUCAAGAAGAUUGCAAGCACUGAAACAGAAGGAAGAAGAACGCGGCGACACAUCAAAACCGAUCCAUUCGUAGCCGUCGCCGAUCCGUCCUCCCGUCGUCAUCGCCGGUACAUUAAGUUGCUAAUAUUGCUUUGCUUUGCUUGCUAAGCAAUUUGCACCGAGGUACAUUCCAGAGCUUGAUUCAUUGAUAGAGAUGGCAACAGUUCCCGAGCCGAAGCGGAAGACUUGUUCCUACAUUUUCCACCGUGAGCCUUUGACAUCUCUGAUUGAGUUGAGUAGUCUUGUGACCAGUGAGCGUCUGAGGGGGUUUGUGGAUCAGUAUGGGGAUAUUCUGACUCUGUUGAAGAUGGUAGUUGACCCGG